Molecule: long non-coding RNA, 12197 nt
Filed under: Oryza sativa (Asian cultivated rice)
Lineage: Eukaryota; Viridiplantae; Streptophyta; Magnoliopsida; Poales; Poaceae
Description: long non-coding RNA (OSAT_LNC000373)
Source: RNAcentral
UGACGGAGCGUGGGGCUCCUCACCGGGAGACCGCGCAGGCCCCCCUUUGCCAGUUCGGCCGGGGGCGCUAAGUGAGGUUCUUCACCCUCGAUCUGUGGAAUGUACGCGAGAGAGCAAACGCACAAGACACGGGCGAUGUAGACAGGUUCGGGCCGCUGAGAAGCGUAAUACCCUACUCCUGUGUUCUGGUGGAUAUGUGUGAGGAAGAGUUACAGAGAGUCGGGGAGCAAGAGAGUUCAAGCUCUAGAACCCCUCUUUUUCCUUCUCUUCUGGUUCUUUUUUCUCUCGAUCUCCUCCCCCAGCUCAAGUCUUCUCAGAGUUGUCCCCCCUUUUCUUUGUGGGCAAGGUCCUCCUUUUAUAUCUCAAGGGGAUACCACAUGCACCACUUCUACCUACUCUUCUUUUGGGUGGGGACCCACCCUAUCUUGACCAAAUCUUGACACGCACCUCCGCCUGGAAGCUAAAUCAACGCCUGUCCUUGAGUGAUGCCCAGCGCCGUCACUCGUCAGACACAGGGGAUCACCCUGUCAUUUCUUCAUUAAUGGGCGGAGUUUUGCAAUGGCCGCUGUCCGAAUGACCCUCCGAUGGGAUGGGUCAUACCUGCCUCCACUCCGCUGGAAGCUGAUGCAACAUGAGAGCACGGUUGUCUGCCGAUGACGUGACCGGCGUCGGACCAGUGACAGACCGGUCAUUCUUGUCCACCACGUGUCAGUUUAGCAUGCCACACAUCUGCCCUUCUUCAUACAGUGACUUCCUUGCAAUGGUUGCGAUGAAGCCUGGCAUGAAUCGAGCCGGGACUGAUGUGCUAACUCCAGGAGUUACCACGCUGGCUCCAGCUAGGGACGAGUGCCAAGAGGCUCUCAUCAUUCCGACGGGACGGGGCGAGGCGUGUGACAGUCCGCCUGCUGCCACCUAACCCGCGAUCUGACCGGUCUGUGACCGAUCACACACUGCGACCGGUCACGGACCGGAUAUGCGUGCGCCGUGCUGCAUUAAAUGCGGCGUGGCGCGCUUGUCCAUUCCGCAAUAAAUGUGGUUUGGUGAGCGCCGCUGUGCCCACCUAACUCACAAACAUGGCGCCAAUACCACAGGGGGUCGGGGCACCCCAGCCCUCGGGGCCGAAGCAGGAGCGGCCCGACCCCUCGGGAAGACAGAGGAGGGGUGGCCACGUCUCCCUCAGGCCCGACCCCCCCCCCCCCGAGGGGGUUAGGCCACGUGGGUGACUGCGGCUGCCCAAGCCUCUAGUCAUGAUACCCCCGAUCCCAUGUCACCGACAGUAGCCCCCGGCGUUAUGCCAGGGCGAUCGCCCCCCUCGAGGGAAGCGCUCGGGCGUGACGCCACUCCUUAGGUCUGGUGACAGGUGGGACCGGUCUCUACAGGUGGGCAGGAACCCAGCGGUCGCAAAUCGCGCGCAUCGGCUAGGGAAAAAACGACCGAUAAUAAUGAGUGGCCUCUUCAAGACCGCUACAUUUCUCGAAAUAGCGCGCGAAUCGGGACGAGCCGGUUCAUUUCGCCUGGAGAUAUGAUGAUGGCGCUUCGGUCGGCGAGCGUAGUUAACGCGCGCACGAUAUGUCUCAUCUCGACUGCCACGGCCGCACAUCCGCCUCGUGCGCCGCAAAAGGGCGAGUGGGAUUAGUGGAGGCGUGGGCGCGAGAAACGAGGGGGCGAGAUAGUGGGCGCGGGAAACGAGGAGCCGGGAAUAGCGUUGGCAAGGGUAUAAGGGCGCCAAGGAAGAGAUUCGUUUCCUUCCUCUCGCCAUUAUUCCCCUUGCCUUCGCCGCUUGCGCCCUAACUCCUUGUUUCCUGUGCCCUACCCUUGCCGCACUCACUCGUUCUCAAGUUCCUCCUCCGCCGGCGUCAUGGCACGGGGCUCCGCACCGCUCGACGGUAGCGUGCUGCCGCCUUCCCGCAUCGUGAGCGAGAGGCAGGCCGGGCUGCCGCGCCGAUUCAUGCCGGAAUCUACCGCCGGUCGGGAGGUGGUCGAGCUGGGCGAGGGACGCCCGGCACCACACUACCCGGGGCGGUCCGUCUUCUUCCUCCCUUUCGCAAUGGCAGGGCUGGUCCCGCCAUUCUCUUCUUUCUUCAUGGAUGUUCUGGAGUUUUAUGAUCUCCAAAUGGCGCACCUCACCCCCAACGCGGUAAUGACGUUGGCCAUCUUCGCGCACCUGUGCGAGAUGUUUAUCGGGGUGCGCCCAUCUCUUCGGCUGUUCCGGUGGUUCUUCACCGUACAGCUAGUGUCGCCGCCGUCGGUAGUUGGUGGCUGCUACUUCCAGCCGCGGGGGCCGGUGCUGAGCCACUACAUUCCCUGCGUCCUCCGCAAGAAGUGGGACGACUGGAAGAGCGACUGGUUCUACACCCCCCUCGCCGACGAAGCGCGCCUCCGACUUCCGAGCCAGCCCCCAGCGCAGGUCUCCAGCUGGCGGGCGCCGGUAGAUCUGGGAGACGGCUACGACGCCGUUCUUGACCGCCUGGCGGGUCUGCGAUCCCAGGGGCUCAUGGGGGCCAUGGUGUACGGCGACUACCUUCGUCGCCGGAUUGCGCCGCUCCAGCGGCGCGCCCGGGGCGCCUGGGAGUACACCGGGUCCGAAGACUACAUGAGGACCCACCAGGGGGUCAGAUGGGACUGGGCCCCUGAGGACUUCAAGAUAGUGGUCCAACGGGUGCUGAAUCUCAGCUCCGUGGAGGCAUCCCUCAUCCCCCAAGGAGUCCUCCCCCUCUGCAGCGAUCCAGAUCGCGCCACCAUCCUGACCAUCAUGCAGGCGGUCGGGGCGUCGGAGGAGCGGGCUCCUGGAGGCCACGAUGGCGCGGGCGGGAGCCGCAGGGGGGAACAAUCUACCCCGGGAGGGGGUCGUGCUUCUGGGCCCCGCGACGGGGGCCCGGGGAGCGGCCGCCCCGCCGACGCCCGGGGGAAAAGAAAGCAGGAAGGAACCCCUUCCCCAUCUCCUCCCCGAGGGGGCGGGGCGGCGCGUGCCAGCAGCAGGCGCCCGGAGGGUGCCGUGCCGUCGUCGCAGCCCGAGGGGGAGCGAAAGAAGAAGCGGCUCCGCAAGAUGGGGGAGACCGAACCAUGCCGGGGAAACCUUAUCUCCCCCCCAAGGUGGUCGUUUAGCCGACCUCCUCGCAGGUUCGUCCCCGCGCCCACUGCGGCCGUAUUCAUUCUCCCAUCUCCCAAGGCAAGUUUUCACUCACCCGUUUCUUUUUGUCUUCUGGUUUUUCUUCUGCCUCAGCGAGAUUCCAUCACGCCCCCCCCCCCGCCAUUCCAAGUCCGGCCAGUCCGAGGCCGUGGAGACGGCGACCGCGGAGGCCCGGAGGCGGGAGGCUGAACGGCGAGAAGCCGCAGACCGCCUCCGAGAAGCCGAGGAAGCUGCCCAGGAGGCCGUCCGGGUUCGCCGGGCUGAGGAAGCCGCUCGGGAGGAAGCCAAACUCCGCCGGGCCGAGGAUUCCGUCCGGGAGGCGGAGAAGGCGCGCGCACGCCAAGCGGCCUGCCAAGCCCCCGACCCGACUCCGCCCGAGGCGACCACGACUUCCGAGGCCACCCACGACGAGGCCGCGGGCGCACUGCUCGGGCCCGACCCCUCGGGCGACGCACGGGACGUGCCAGCUUCGGGGGACGCCCCCGAGUCCGGCACGUCGAUUGGCGGGCCGUGCCACGCGGCGCCCGCACCGAGGCGGCUCUCCCCUAUGCCUUCCGCUGCCCCACUGAACGCGGAGCCCCUCCUGCAGGCCUUAGCCGCCGCAAACACCACGGUGCUGGACGGGCUAGGUGCCCAGAUGGAGGUCCUGCAGGCAGAGUGGACAUAGCUCAACGCGGCGUGGGCACGCGUCGAGGAGGGGCGGCGCUCGGUGGAAGCCAUGGUGGAAGCGGGCCGCAAGGCACACCGCCGACACGCCUCAGAGCUCAAGGCCCGUCGGAGGGAGCUGGCAGAGAUCGCCAGGGAGGUGGAGGAGGAGCGGGAGACUGCCCUCAUCGCCACCGCCGUGCUCAACGAGGCGCGGGACGAUCUCCACCUCCAAUACGGGAGCCGGGCGGCGGAGCUAAAGAAGAAACUCGAUGCCGCCCGGGGAGUCCUUGACGCCGCCGCUGCACGGGAACGGCGGGCGGCGGAGAACGAGACGGCGUCCCGGCGGCGCGAAGAGGCCCUUGAGGCUCGUGCCAAAGCGCUGGAAUAGCGCGCACGCGCGAGGGAGAAGGACCUGGCGGACCGCGAGGCCGCCAUCGCCAUCCGGGAGGCAACGCUGGCGGCGCAUGAGGCCGCCUGCGCCGAAGAGGAGUCAGCACUCCGCCUCCGCGAGGACGUGCUCACCGAGCGAGAGCAAGCUCUCGAGGAGGCCGAGGCCGCGGCGCAGCGACUGGCGGACAACCUGUCCCUCCGCGAGACAGCGCGGGAGGAGCAGGUGCGCCGCAAUCUGGAAAGCGCCCGCGCCGAGAGGGCCGCACUGGAUCAGCGGGCCGCUGAGCUCGAGGCGCGGGUAAAGGAGCUGGACGCAAGGGCGCGUAGCGGCGGGGCGGCCGCGGGCGACAGCGACCUAGCCGCCCGCCUCGCAGCUGCCGAACACACCAUCGCCGAUCUGCAGGGCGCGUUGGACUCGUCCGCCGGGGAGGUCGAGGCCCUCCGCUUGGCAGGCGAGGUAGGGCCCAGCAUGCUUCGGGACGCCGUCUCCCGUCUAGACCGCGCCGGGCGACAGGCGGGCCUCUGGGGCGAGCGGACCGCGAAGUAUGCCGCCAACCAGGGGGGCCUCGCCCAACGCCUUUCAGAGAUGGCCGGGACCCUCCAGCGGCUCCCCGAGGAGCUCGAGGAGACGAUCAAGUCAUCCUCGAGGGACCUCGCCCGGGGGGCGGUGGAGCUCGUACUGGCAAGCUACCAGGCCAGGGACCCGGACUUCUCCCCGUGGGCAGCGCUGGACGAGUUUCCUCCCGGGACCGAGGACGACGCGCGCGUGCAGGUCCGGGACGCCGCUGACCACAUCGUCCACAGCUUCGAGGGUACGGCCCCCCGGCUCGCGUUCGCCCUCGACUCCGAUGAAGAGGGCGGUGACGGCGGUGACGAGGCCGGCGACCCGGGCGUGUCGGAAUGAGCUCCCAGGCCCCUGCCAAUCUUUAUAUAGUUUUUUCUUUCUUCUUCCGAGGCCUUCGGGCCCCCUUCUUGUGUAGACUAACUUAAUCUGCAAUCAAAUAAAGAGGAAAUUUUUUGCGUCAAUUCUAUUUGUUGUGUGUAUGAGACGAGGAUGGUCUGUGCCGCGGUCCUUCUGUGUCUUGGCUUGAACAAGGGCUCGUGCCCAGGUCCCAGCCUCAAACGGCGCGGGUCGGGGCUAGUGCCUGGGGAGAUCCACAUGUCGAGACUGGCCAGGCCGGGAGCGUGGUGACCGAGGGUUAUGGGUGACCCGAUUGUGGGCCUUUGCCGAUUCCCCCCCGGAGUUCACCACGCCCCGGGGCACGGCUCGGUUCUGGGCCCCUUUUGGCGAUUUUAGCCGGCCCGGGCCACCGAGGGCAGGAUCGAGCACGAGCGUGCUAAUUCAAGUCAAGAUUCAGCAAAAGGAAACAAUGGCACAGACACAGUCCUUAGGAAAUCAAAAAUGCUUUUAUUGAAAUACAGAAGAGAAAAAAGACAAUUAUCUGUAUGUGGUAGCCCCCGGCCAACUCUGCACGCCUGAGGGGGGUGCGGGGUUGGCCCGAGCCCGAGACCUGACACCCGACCCCCACUAGGGGUAGAAGCGACGAAGGUGUUCGAUGUUCCACGAGUUAGGCAGCUCUGUGCCGUCGCCCGUGGCCAGCCGAACUGAGCCCGGCCGGGGGACGCCGAUCACUCGAUACGGACCCUCCCACAUUGGUGAGAGCUUGCUCAAUCCAGCACGCGUUUGGACGCGGCGUAGGACGAGGUCGUCGACGCAGAGUGAUCGGGCCCGGACGUGGCGCUGAUGGUAGCGCCGCAGGCUCUGCUGGUAGCGCGCGGCUCGGAGGGCCGCGCGCCGCCUUCGCUCUUCCAAGUAGUCGAGGUCAUCUCUGCGAAGCUGAUCUUGAUCAGCCUCGCAAUACAUGGUGGCCCGAGGGGACCUCAGGGUGAGCUCAGAUGGGAGAACCGCCUCCGCGCCGUAGACGAGGAAGAAAGGCGUUUCCCCAGUUGCUCGGCUUGGCGUGGUUCGGUUUGCCCAGAGCACCGCUGGCAACUCCUCGAUCCACGAGUCGUCGUGCUUCUUGAGGAUGUUGAAGGUCUUGGUUUUGAGGCCCUUAAGGAUUUCCGCGUUGGCGCGUUCCACUUGGCCGUUGCUUCUGGGAUGGGCGGGUGAGGCGAAGCAGAGAUUGAUGCCCAUGUCUUCGCAGUAGUCACCGAAGAGUUCACUAGUGAACUGGGUGCCGUUAUCCGUAAUGAUACGGUUAGGCACCCCAAACCGAGCAGUGAUGCCCCUGAUGAAUUUAAGCGCGGAGUGCUUAUCGAUCUUGAUGACCGGAUAAGCCUCGGGCCACUUAGUGAAUUUGUCGACAGCGACAUACAGAUACUCGAACCCGCCCGGGGCCCGCCUAAACGGACCCAAGAUAUCGAGCCCCCAGACAGCAAAUGGCCACGAAAGAGGUAUGAUCUGCAGGGCCUGGGCCGGCUGAUGGGUUUGCCUGGCGUGGAACUGGCACGUCCUGCACCGCCGAACCAAGUCGACCGCAUCGUUGAGAGCCGUUGGCCAAUAGAAACCCUGGCGAAAGGCCUUCCCAACCAAGGUGCGUGAGGCGGAGUGGGCUCCGCACUCGCCUUCAUGGAUAUCGGCAAGAAGCUCGACGCCUUGUUCCCGAGGAAUGCACUUCAGGAGGACUCCGUUAGCCGCGCGCUGAUAGAGGGUCCCUUCUACCAGCACAUAGCGCUUGGAGAUGCGCUGGAAGCGUUCACUCCCUUCGCGGUCCUCGGGUAGAGUCUUAUCUAUGAGGUACACCUGGAUCUCAGUGAUCCAAGCAAUCGAUCUAAGGGAGCUGGGAGCGCUCCCUUCAGGUCCCGAGGCCUGGACUCCGACGGGCCUCGGGGGCCGUUCAGGCUCGUCCGUCUCCCCUAGGGGGUCGGGUCGCGCCGACGGCUGGGCAAGCCUUUCUUCAAAGGCGCCCGGUGGGGUCUGGGCUCGCGAGGAAGCGAGCCUUGAGAGCUCGUCGGCGACCGCGUUAUCCCGUCUGGGCACGUGCCGAAGCUCUAUCCCGUCGAAAUGGCGCUCCAUACGCCGCACCUGGCGCACGUAAGCGUCCAUCUGCGGGUCAGAGCACCGGUACUCCUUACAGACCUGGUUAACGACCAGUUGGGAGUCGCCUAACACCAGGAGGCGGCGGAUCCCCAGUCCAGCUGCCACCCUGAGUCCCGCAAGGAGUCCCUCGUACUCUGCCAUAUUGUUGGUCGCCCGAAAGUCGAGGCGGACCAGGUAUCUGAGGACGUCUCCGCUCGGCGAGGUCAAUGUGACCCCCGCACCGGCACCCUGAAGAGACAGGGACCCGUCGAACUGCAUCACCCAGAAGGCGGUGUGAGGCAGCUGCGAGGGGCCCGAGCUGGCCUCAGGGACGGAGACGGGCUCGGGAGCUGGGGUCCACUCUACCACAAAGUCGGCGAGGGCCUGGCUCUUGAUCGCGUGGCGUGGUUCAAAGUGCAAAUCGAACUCAGAGAGUUCGAUUGCCCAUUUCACCGCCCGUCCAAUACCCUCUCGGUUAUGCAAGAUUUGGCCGAGGGGGUAAGACGUAACCACUGUGACCCGAUGCGCCUGGAAAUAAUGGCGCAACUUCCUCGAGGCCAUCAGGAUAGCGUAAAGCAUCUUCUGGGCCUGAGGGUAUCGGGUCUUGGCGUCCCAGAGGGCCUCACUAACGAAGUAGACGGGCCGCUGCACCUUUCGGCGGGGCCGAUCCUCUUCGCCAGCCGUAUCUCCAGGGCGCUUUUCGUCCGAGAGGCCGCGCGGGGCGUACUCGGCUUCUGUGUCGACGACCUCGGGGUCGGAGGGCGACAGGCGCGGCCUUCCCGCAGUGGCCCCGGGGCCAUCCUGGGGGUCGGGGGCGCCUGUCACCGUCGGACAAGCGGGCAGAGGGCCAGCUCCGGUCGUCGGGGGCCUCGGGCCGCCGUUCGGCUCGGGGGCCUCUCCUCCCUGCUCUCUCCCGGGUCGAGUCGACACAGGGCGCUCUUUGUCCGAGAGGCCGCGCGGGGCACACUCGGCUUCUGUGCCGACGACCUCGGGGUUAGAGGGCGACAAACGCGGCCUUCCCGCAGUGGCCCCGGGGCCAUCCUGGGGGUCGGGGGCGCCUGGUACCGUCGGACAAGCGGGCAGAGUGCCAGCUCCGGUCGUCGGGGGCCUCGGGCCGCCGUUCGGCUCGGAGGCCUCUCCUCCCUGCUCUCUCCCGGGUCGAGUCGACACAGGGUGGGGGUGUGCGGAGCGAGGGUCGUCCUCGUCGCGCUCCACGACCAACGCCGAGCUGACCACCUGCGGGGUUGCCGCCAGGUAAAGUAGCAACGGUUCAUCUGGUUUCGGGGCGACUAGGACCGGGGGAGAACUGAGGUACGCCUUCAACUGAGUGAGGGCCCGUUCAGCCUCCUCCGUCCAAGUAAACGGCCCGGAACGUUUGAGGAGCUUAAAUAGGGGUAGCGCCUUCUCUCCCAGCCUCGAUAUGAACCGAAUUAGGGCGGCCAUGCAACCAGUGACGCAUUGCACAUCCCUAAGUUUGCUGGGGGGGGCGCAUCCGCUCUAUAGCUUGUAUCUUCUCGGGGUUGGCCUCGAUGCCUCGGGCAGUGACCAAGAACCCGAGAAGCUUGCCCGCAGGCACGCCGAACACGCACUUGUCGGGGUUCAGCUUUAUGCGGGCGGAGCGGAGACUUUCGAAAGUUUCCGCUAGAUCCGAGAGUAAGGUCUCUUGGUUGCGCGUCUUCACAACCAAGUCAUCAACAUAAGCCUCAACGUUGCGUCCUAACUGGCUACCCAAAGAAAUUCGAGUAGUAUGUUGAAAAGUAGGACCUGCAUACUUUAACCCGAACGGCAUUGUCGUAUAACAAUAAGUUCCUAUGGGGGUGAUGAAUGCAGUUUUUUCCUCAUCCUCCCUAGCCAUGCGAAUCUGAUGAUAACCAGAGUAUGCAUCUAGAAAACACAAAAGGUCGCACCCCGCGGUGGAGUCGACAAUCUGAUCUAUACGUGGCAAGGGAUAAGGGUCCUUAGGACAUGCCUUGUUAAGGUCGGUGUAGUCAAUGCACAUCCGAAGCUUGCCGUUCGCCUUGGGAACGACGACCGGGUUCGCCAGCCACUCCGGAUGGAUGACCUCACGGAUGAAUCCGGCUUCCAGAAGUCGCGCCACCUCCUCGCGGAUGAAGGCUUGACGUUCCGGGGCCUGCCGCCGUACUUUCUGCCGGACCGGCCUUGCGCCCGGCCGCACGGCGAGACGGUGCUCAAUCACCUCCCUGGGGACCCCGGGCAUGUCCGCCGGUCUCCAGGCGAAGACGUCGGCGUUUGCCCGCAGGAAGGAGACGAGCGCGUCUUCCUAUUUGUCGUUCAGAAGACCACCGAUUCAUGUGGUCUUAGACAGGCCGUCACCCAGGGCAACCUUCUUGACCGGGACCUCGUCGCACGUGAUCAUCCGUUGCCUCGGGGCGGCCGGGACGGAGGCGCUGAGCCUCUCGUCGCCACCCUCGGGCUUGGACGCCGCGGCGAGCUGGUUCGCGCGCUGCUCCAUACAAGCAAGCGCGACUUGGAGGUCGCCAUGGACGGUGAUGGGGCCACCAGGGCCCGGCAUCUUCAUCUGGAGAUAGGCGUAGUGGACUGCCGCCAUGAACUUCACCAACGCGGGUCUCCCCAGGACCGCGUUGUAGGGCAGACUGAGAUCCGCCACAUCGAAGUUCACCCGCUCCGUGCGGAAGUUGGCGGAACCACCGAAGGUGACCGGGAGGUCGAUAUGACCUAGCGGCCAAGUGUGCCCCGGCGUCACACCGAUGAUCGGCUGGGAUGGCUGGAGCACCAUCCCUGGGGCCUUGAUGGCGUCAAAGGCUGCGGGGGAAAGGAUGUUGAGAGCUGCACCCCCGUAUAUGAGGACAUGCCCCAACUUCACAUUGCAAAUAGUGGGGGAAACCACCAUCGCGAUCUGUCCUCCCCGGGCAACGCACGGCGGGUGGUCGGUCUGGUCGAAGGUGAGGGCCACCUCCGACCAUCGCGCCCGCCGCGUCGCCUCAUGGGUAGGGGCCGCGGCCAGAAGCUCUCGCUUCAUGGCCUUGAGGCUCCGGCGAGAAGCAUGAGCACACGCUCCCCCAUCGACAGUGGCAACUGUGGCCUGAGGCUCCUGGAACCCCAGGUUAUCGUCGCCAUCGUCGACAUCCUCGGCGGGGGCCUUCUGCUUGGCCUCACCUCGCCGGUUGCCGGCGGGGGCCGCCGGGGCCUUGCCCUCACGGCGCUCCUGCCUCCUCUCCUCCUCCCACUUCCUCGUCCGCUCAGCCAAACUUUUGACCGCGCGGCAGUCCGCGAGGUCGUGGAGGGAGGUGUUGUGCACGGAGCACCACUUGCCGGUCGGGCGCUCCCUGCUGGGAGCUUCGGCCUCCUUCUUUCUGUCGCUCGCAGGCCUCCCCUUUCGGGUGGCCCGCGAAGCGCCCUCGACGGUGAGGACGUGCCCCUCGUCGUCGGAAAAGGCCAACCUCUUCUUCCUCCUCCUGUCCUGCCGCCCUGACCGAGCGGCGGACCCGGGGACGGCCGGAGCUGCCACACCGGAACCGGAGGAGUUCCAGGUCCAGGCCUCCUCCUUGCGAGCCACACGGUCCGCAAGCUGAAAAAGCUCCGCGGUGGUCUGGGGCUCCUUGGAGGCGAUCUUUUCGAGCAUGCGAUUGUGCCGCACGCCCCCCCUGAACGCGUAGAUCACCACGUGUGCGGGGAUGCACGGUAUAGUGUUGCGGACUUGACAGAACCGCUGAAUGUACGAGCGAAGAGACUCAUCGUCCCCUCGCUGUACCGCGUGCAAGUCCGCUUCUUCACCUGGGCGCGGAUAUGUGCCCUGGAAGUUCAUGGUGAACUGCUGGCACAAAUCCUCCCAAGAGUGUACCGACGCGGGUGGCAAGUUCAUCAGCCAACCCCGCGCCUGACCUUUCAGGACCAUGGGGAAGAAAUUCGCCAUGACCCUGUCGUCACCCCCGGCGGCCUCAAUCCCGGUCGUAUAGAUCUGGAGAAACUCGGCAGGGUUGACGCUUCCGUCGUAUUUUUCGGUGAUGGUGGGCCGGAACCUUGGGGGCCAACGGACGUUCCGAAGGCUCGCCACAAAGGCUCGACAGCCGGCACCGCCAACCGGGGACAUGGGAGGCUGGCCCCCAUGCCCGGACUGAAGUGGCGCUCCGGACGAGGAAGCGCCCUUCGUUGCGUGGGCAGCACGACGACCAUUGCGUCGGCGCUCAAUAUUGAGGCGGGCAUCCGGCCCCCCACGCACAUCUUCUUUGGUCGGAGGCGUCGACGAGGGAAUAGCGGACGAACGGCGGGUAACGGCCGCCGCUCGCCGCGCCCUCCGCCUCGACGACAUGAAGCCGGUGGUAGCAGUGCCAGAGGCCUUGGGGGCGAAGGACCGCCCGCCGGCGCCUAGGCGCUGCUGCGCCGUCAUGACCAAGUUGGCCACAUCAUCCAGCCAACGUCGAGCUGGAGUCUCUGGAUCGGGGACGACGGGCGGGUGACGCAGAAGCGCGCCCGCAGCCUGGAGCGCGCCCUGGGGCGUGCUGCCAUCGCCGUAGACGAGGAGGCGACGCUCCCCGUCUCGCCGUCCUUCUCCAUCACCCGUGGGUGACGAAGUCGCGGAUCUUUCGAUCCCCUCGAGCGCCUCCUCCCGCCCAAGACUUCGGCGAAAGGGGGACGGUGGAGUACGAGCUCGACGGCGCGGGUUCUGCUCCCUGUCGUCACCGCUAGCGCUCGGAGAGAGGUUGUGCGCCACUGCCCGUUCGGCCAUUGGGCUGAGCGGGAGAAACUUGGCGCACACGAAAGAGGAUAAGGGCUUAGAAAAGCGCACGCGCCCCCUACCUGGCGCGCCAGAUGACGGAGCGUGGGGCUCCUCACCGGGAGACCGCGCAGGCCCCCCUUUGCCGGUUCGGCCAGGGGCGCUAAGUGAGGUUCUUCACCCUCGAUCUGUGGAAUGUACGCGAGAGAGCAAACGCACGAGACACGGGCGAUGUAGACAGGUUCGGGCCGCUGAGAAGCGUAAUACCCUACUCCUGUGUUCUGGUGGAUAUGUGUGAGGAAGAGUUACAG